RNAcentral lists this unclassified non-coding RNA (7260 nucleotides) under Homarus americanus (American lobster). Its description in RNAcentral is "mAGUK p55 subfamily member 7-like, transcript variant X4". Lineage: Eukaryota; Metazoa; Arthropoda; Malacostraca; Decapoda; Nephropidae. The record is from RNAcentral.
AGACGACAGUCCAACAUGGCGGUCUUCUGAUAUUGACAUUCGGGAAUGAAUUCUGACAUUUCUCGCUUCAAGUUAUGACACUGUGCUCUUUCUGAUCUGGCCUGAGACAUAUGAAGCAUUGGUGGUGGUAAUAAGACAUCGGCAUGACAGCUGUGAUGGCCGCUGGAGACUCAGGUAGCCUGUCUCUGGGUGGUCUGCUGUCCUCCCUGGAGAAAGCCCGAGUGCAAUUGGACAGCGAUGAAGAUGACUUUGGCUUCCUUGCAGACCUGCUCAAGUCCCGAGAACUACAAGCACUUGUUCAUGUACAUAAUAAGGCGGACCAGAUCAACCGCACCAAGAAGGCCUGUCAGCCACUUAUGUCCAAUGCGGAAGACAUUGCCAUCUCCAUCAUGAGGGAGAUACAUUAUCGCACCAUACCCUCUGGUGAUGCCAUCGAACUUUUUGCCAUCUUACAGUCACCCCACCUACAAGGAGUUCUCCAAGCUCAUGAUAGCAUCGCAGCUAAGGAUUUUGUACCGCACUUACCAGAGAUCCCAGUAGAAGUUGAUGAGGAUGAGGAGACUGUAAAAAUUGUGCAGCUAGUGAAGAGCAAUGAACCAAUGGAAGGGAAGGGAGCUGAACCAAUUGUGGGUGCUACUAUCAAGCAUGACGAUCGAACAGGAGCCAUAGUGAUUGCCCGUAUCAUGCAUGGUGGUGCUGCUGAUCGUUCUGGCCUGAUACAUGUUGGGGACGAGGUGCAAGAAGUCAACAAUUUAAACGUAGUUGGCAAAACUCCAGCUGAUGUCCUAAAGAUACUUAUGCAAGCAGAAGGCACCAUCACCUUCAAGCUCCUUCCUGCUGGCAGUGCAGCUUAUUUAAGAGAGAGUAAAGUACGUGUUCGUGCCUAUUUCGACUAUGACCCCAAAGAAGACAAACAUAUCCCCUGUAAAGAGGCUGGACUUGCAUUCAAGAAACAAGACAUCCUUCACAUUGUCACCCAAGAUGACCCAUAUUGGUGGCAAGCACGAAGAGAAGGAGACCGUAACAUGCGUGCUGGACUGAUUCCCUCUAGGCAGCUCCAAGAAAGACGUAUCUUGUCGCAACGACAGGAGCAGACUGCUAAUGGUCAAAUUGCAGGAAAUAUUAUCCCCAAGUCACCAAGUUGCAAACCCUCACCUAAAGUGAAGAAGAUAAUAUAUGAUGCUUCUGAAAGUGAGGAUUUUGAUCGGGAAGAAGUGGCAACGUAUGAAGAAGUGGCACGUCUCUAUCCUCGACCUGGUCUUCCUCGACCUGUUGUUUUGAUUGGUCCACCUGGUGUUGGGAGGAAUGAAUUGAAGCGAAGAUUAAUGACUCUUGACGUAGAUAAAUUCCGGACACCAAUUCCCAUGACUUCACGACCAUCACGACAUGGUGAGGUGAACAACCGGGACUAUCAGUUUGUAACCCGAGAAGAACUAGAGGAGGAGGCUGCUUCGGGGACAUUAGUUGAACAUGGAGAGUUCAAGGGUCACUUGUAUGGCACCUCGUCUGUCACUCUUAAGUCUAUGAUUAAUGCUGGCUAUGUAGUGCUGGUUACUCCACACUAUCAGGCCCUUAAGUACCUGAGAACUGCAGAGUUCAAACCGUACGUGAUAUACAUCAAGCCUCCAACACUGGCUGUGCUCAAAGAAACGAGACAAGCAGCUCAUGCACGCUCAACCUUUGAUGAAAAUAAUUCUAGAGGCUUUACAGAAGAUGAAUUUAGGGACAUGCUGAAGGCAGCUGCAAGAAUUGAAUUUCACUACUCUCACUGGUUUGAUGAAGUUAUUGUUAAUGAUGAGCUAUCUUCAGCCUUUGAGCUCUUGGUUGCAGCUGUAAAUAAGGUGGAAACGGAACCACUGUGGGUGCCUGCAUCAUGGGUGCAAUAAUCAUGAUCUGAUCACAAGAAACAAUUGUUUUCUGAGUAGUGCAGCAAUAAGACUUGUUCUUCAUGCAUUACAAAUCUAAGAAGUAGACGAGUUGUGAGAGUUGUGCUUGGGGUGCGACAGUGCUAUAAGGGUCAGUUUACUUCUAGUUACCACUAUUGGUGAGAAACAUUAAAUUACUGUUAUGUACCAAACAAUUGUAGAAUGUAAUAUAACUAGUCAAUGUUUUCUUUGAAUUUAUGCAUCCAAAGAAUUGCCUCGUUAGCACUAGUGAGAUGUUUGUCAUAAGUUUUCUUUUGGGCAUACAUGCUAACGUUUGGGCAUACUUUAACAGAAAUCAAAUUUUAUAUGGGUGUGUCAGUUGUUUCACUAAUGAAUGCAUCCAUUCUUUCCAUAUGAAUCUCCUCAAGUAGAAUUCUGCUGUGAAAAACAAAUAUUUCUGAUUCUGAUGUUAUCCACUGAAUCAGAUCUGACAAAAAUGGGAGUGUGUAUAUGAAGCAGACAUCUUCUUUGUUGCAUUGAGUGAUUUAUCAAACCUUAAAAAUAGGUGGUAUAAAUUCUUAAGUGUGAUACAUCUCAUGAUUGAUGUAAGAAACUUAAAAAAGACAGUCAGGGAGCUAAUUGCUAAAUUGAACAAAUGGUAGAUGUCAAAUUAAAUUCAAAGUUAUAUUCCACGUCAAAAGCAAAUUAAAUAAUUGUAUUGAUUCAGGAGGUUGAAGUCUGUGCCUGCAUUACUUAGGGCUCAAGAGUGCAAGAUGAGGCUAGGUCAGGUAAGGUCAGAGCAAGAGCCUUUUUAAGUCUGUUAGUAGGAACAAGAACAUACACUAUAUUGUUAUCUUUAUUGUGAUACUAAUUAACCGUAUUCAUAGUUAGCUCAUUAGAAUGUGGAUCAUUUUAAUUGUUUUAUUCGUUUCUAAUGAUAUAGAAUGGAAUCAGUGAUAGGUAUGACAAGUAUUCCAAGUUAAUUUCACUUAUGAGCUCAAAAUAAGCUGACCUGGCCACUGAUGUUCUCACCAGUGUUAUGUGACUUGUGUUCAUUGGGUUUGUUGAAAGCAUAAACAUGAUCUCAACACAAAUCUAGUGAAUCGUGUAGCUCAACAGUGAGCGAAUAUUGUUGAUAGUGUUAAUGUGUAGCAAUUGCUAGUUUAUUCUACGUACAGCCCUUCAUUCCUCAGUAGUUUUAUGCAAGCGAGUCAAAUAAGGGAAAUUCCAAUAGUACAGUAUUAUGAAACUGCACAUUUGAGACAGUAAAUAAAUAAUAAUUCUUGAAUUAAUGGUGAAGGGAUCAGAAUGUAAAUUAAAUGCAUUACAGUAUUUUGUAAAAUCUGUUUAGGUUUAAUUAUUUUUAUAUCAUUAUUAAUAUAAAGUUUCUGAAAAGUCAUUAGUAUAAUAGAUGUGAAUUCUCAAGAAGUCUAGUUCAGGAUAGUUUGAGAAUACUCUGUGAUUUUCAUAUUUUCUUCCUUGUGAUGAUUUUACAGUUCUGGUGGACAGACAAGACAUUGACUUGAUCUUUAUUGUUUAUCUUGCAAAUAUAGAAGCUUUGAAUACAGCCCAAGAGGCAGUGGGGUAAAAAGUUGUGGCUUAUAUCAGUAGAAGCUGAUAUUACCAAAUAAACAAAGUUGACAUUUGUGUCUUCGCAACUCGGAUAGGAUGAAUCUUCAAUUAUGUCUUUAAGAUAGCAAACUGAAUUUUUUUAAUAAUCUUUACAGAAAGGUGAUGUAAAAUAUAUAAAAAUAUACUAAUAAUGAUAAUAAUAAUAACAACAGUAAUACUACUAUAGGGGGUACUACUAAUAUUAAUAACAACAAAAAUGAACAAAGUUUUUUUUAGAAUAUUGUCUAUAUAUUUCAAUAUUAAGGGAAUAUAUUCUGAUCUAUUUCUUAAUUGUAGACUGUAAUCGUUUGAAUUAGCAUGUAAAGUUAAGUAAACAAGCUAUGUAAGGUCCACAGAUACUUCUGUUUCAUAAGUUAAAACAAAAUUAUGGCUAAUCUUAGUUUUUAUCUUGACUGACUUAUAAUAAUGAAAUUUAUGAAAUACAGUACAGUAUGUAUAAAUGCUUCAGUCUCUGCACACCAUAUGUAAGUGGCACAAUAUUGUUAAAUGCUAGAUGGUGUUCUAUAUUUAGUGCCAACAGUUGUUAGUGAAAUUGUAAAUACAUUUCAUUUGUGGUGAAGUUUUGAUGGUGUUGGCAAAGUUCAUCCAAUUGUUUUCUCUCUGAAAUUGCCACAGAGAGAAUAGGCUUAUUAGACCUCUGCCUGCUGACAUGUAAUGACUAAGAUAAACCUAUAGAAUAAUGAAACAAAAACAAAUACGUAUUUUCAGCUAAAAUAAUCUAAAGAACAUUUCAGGCUAAUAGUAUGUGUCAAUCAUUGUCCAGUUUGCAGUUGUCUGGUUACCGUUGAUCAUAUACCUGGUGUGAAAGACCAGAAGGGUUGUGUUUAUUUAUGUUUCAGUAUAUGAUGGCUAGUGAAAUUUUCAAUUUCUUGGUGAGAUAAAGUAGUGAAUAAUUAAGAUGUAGUUAAUUAAUAAAUUAUUAUUUCAAACUGGAGCCUACAAAUAAGUUUAAUGGAUACACAAUAUCCAUGAAUCGAAUUUGCAUACUUUGUCAUGAACCAAAAUACUGUACAUCAUUACAUAUGUAAUGGAGAAUUUCAUUAGCAGAUAAAAUUGUGUUGAACAAUCAAAGUUAUAGACAUUCAAACUGUAAAUAGUUGAGCCCAAGAAGAAAUAGACUAUACCAUUUUGGGCCUUCCCAUGCCUUCUUACAGAACUGUAUGUCACAGUGAAGAUGUAUUUUGUGAUUUUACAGUCAACACUAGAGAAUCAUAUUACAUCACUAGGCUGAGUAAACCUAAAAUCAGCUUUGAAAAACAUCAAACGUUUUAUUUCAAGUGAAGAAAAAAUUAAGCUUUCAACAGUUUACUUGUAUUUUUUAAGUGUUUGCACUUUGAUCAUUCACUGUAACUUAGAUGAAGUGCAGCUCUUCAUAUUAUAAUUUUUAGGUAUCAGCAGACUGAACUCUUGGCUUUUACCAGAAAAGAUGAAAAGAACAAAUCAAGUCUUGUGUAAAGUGGCCUACUAGUCAUUGUAGAAGUAAACACAUGUACCCAUUAGUUGAUAGUAUUUUCCAAGUUAUUGAAAAAAAAUGUGUCAAUAGAAACUUAUAAAUUAUAACCUAAUAUACAAGACAGGAGUUAAUAUCAAAGAUAAGUAUGUUAGCAAGCUCUAUACUUUACUUUAAAUAGCACUGACCAAGUUGUCUAAUAGUGAUCUCACAAAAUUUUUACCUAAAGUACUGCCUUUGUAGUAUUACAAGGGGUCCCCGGGUUACGAACAAGUUUCGUUCCUGAGGACGUUCUUAAGUCAGAACACAUACCCUAUGUGCACUUUAUCAUAGCCUAAUUCAUUUUAUACAUCUAGAAUCACUUAAUUUAAAAUAAAGGAAGAAAUUGAAUGACAAAAUACAGUAAACUAAAAAUUAAAGUUUAACACUUACAUUGAAACCUGGGGCUGGUUUGCAUGUAGAGAUGGGCAUUUGUAGAAGUGAUUUAGAUCUUCCACCCAUAUCACUAACAAUCUUUCUAUUUCAAUUAUCAAUCCAAUUCUUUGUUUUGUUAUCAGUUGAGUGCAUUGGUGUAGAUCCUUUUACAUGUUCAAGAAUUUUGUGCUUGUCUUUCAAAAUUGUUUCGAUCAUUGACCGACUUAAGCCCAACACUUCACCAGUGACUGAGGGUGUUUUGCCUUUUUCAAAACAUUUAAUUUCAUCAACUUUCACUUCCAUUGUAAUUGUUUUCCUUUACUUGGAUGCACUACUAUCACUUGCAUCAGGUUUGCAUUUGGGAGCCAUGAUGAGGGCAGAAAAACAAAGUUAAUAAGCAAUAAACAACGGUUUGCAUUUGAUCACACACGUUACUGAGGUGAGGGCAAGGUGUACCGAUGCUCCCUCAAGGCACGUUGCUGGGUGACACAUUACUCCCCACACGCCGCUAUGCCAUGCAAACUAGUUCUCAUACAUUAAUACAAUGAACCUGUUGUACCUAUGUCGGGUUCCUAAAAUAGUUGACCUUAUGGGACCUCGUUUGUAUUGGCAGGUGUUCGGAAGUCAGACGUUUGUAACCCGGGGACCCCCUGUAUUGGUUUUACAUUACUGCAUAGGAGUUGUGGUUUUAUUUAUUAAGUGUACCAAUCACCUCAGUGUCAUUCAUGUACCUUUUUCUGUAAAGUGUUUAACCCUGUUGGUCUCCUCUUUUUCCAAAUAGUUCUUGCAAGUCUCUUGGAUUUAUUUUUUAUUUUAGACAUUAUUCGUAUAUUUUUAUUCUCCUCCAAUUAACAGAACAGAACUGUAUAUGUAAUGAAAACGUUAUUGUUUGUAGUUUUUCAGAUUUACAUUGUUUAAGUUUGUCAAUUCUCUUAAUUUAUUAUGCUCACAAAGUUCUUCCUUCUGUCUUCUAUUUGUUUCUGUUAUAUAUACAGUACAAUAUACUGUAUACUUUUUUCUUUUCUUUUUUCAAAUAAUCCCAAAGACAUGCAUCUGCACUUAGUUAAUUUGUAAUUUUGUUUUCCAACAUGUAACUGAAUACCAAAACAUUUAUAUUUAAUGGUUUGUCAAGGAUCCAGGUCCAUAUCCCACUACAGUAUCAUAAUAUUUAUAUGUUGUGCAGUUAUCAUAAAAGUAAUCCCAUUCAUUGAUAAUGAUAUAAUACGUAUAUAUAAUUGUAAUUGGCAAAAGAAAAAAAAAUUACUGCACAGUUGUGUACCAAGAGUAAAUGUCUUUACAAUGUGUGUGGUAUCAUCAAAUGGCAUUACAGUAUACAAUAUUGUGCAGCUGAAUUCAGAUACUAUUUUGUGCCAGUCAUUGCUCCUGUAUUUUUGUUCUUUAGUCAACCAUUUUUCAACAUGCUUGCAUUUCCUUAGAUCUUGUAUGCAGUUAAACUUACUGCAACAGUGUGUUAGUGCUCUACACCCGUUAAAGUAAGUCAUGCAACUGAAAAUCUCUUAGUAAUCUCAUCUUGUGAUGAUACUAAAGUACUUUUUACAUAGGAAUUGUCUCACUCGUACUUCCUCAAAUCUUUCAUUUAUUGUUUAAUGGUACCUAAUUCUACACCUUUACAAGUUUUUUUUUAUACAGUACAGCAUGUAUAAAAAAUUUGUCAGGUUUUUUACCUUUAGUCACCAUUAUGGUAUAUGUUCAAAUUAAUGUUCUUAGGUGGCUCACAUAUGACCUCUUUUCAACAACAGUUAGGCAUGUAUGAAAGAUCAAAGAUUUGUUAAAUAAUAAAAAAAUUUAUCUCUGUAUCAGACCAACAUGUAACAUCCAUUCCAAUCUAUAUUAUCAGUAAUCCUUACUCUUAUUAAAUACACAUGGCAACAAUCUUUC